RNAcentral lists this transfer RNA (66 nucleotides) under Stenocercus orientalis. RNAcentral's name for it is "tRNA-Cys". The record is from RNAcentral. Lineage: Eukaryota; Metazoa; Chordata; Lepidosauria; Squamata; Tropiduridae.
AAGCCCCGGAGCCCUUUGUGGGCUCGUCUUCAAACUUGCAAUUUGACGUGGACUCACUACGGAGCU